RNAcentral lists this ribosomal RNA (460 nucleotides) under uncultured bacterium. Its description in RNAcentral is "partial 16S ribosomal RNA". It matches the Rfam family "Bacterial small subunit ribosomal RNA", at positions 338 to 795 of the family's 1533-position model. The record is from RNAcentral.
CCUACGGGAGGCAGCAGUGAGGAAUAUUGGUCAAUGGACGAGAGUCUGAACCAGCCAAGUAGCGUGAAGGAUGACUGCCCUAUGGGUUGUAAACUUCUUUUAUAUGGGAAUAAAACGUUCCACGUGUGGGAUUUUGUAUGUACCAUAUGAAUAAGGAUCGGCUAACUCCGUGCCAGCAGCCGCGGUAAUACGGAGGAUCCGAGUGUUAUCCGGAUUUAUUGGGUUUAAAGGGAGCGUAGGUGGAUUGUUAAGGCAGUUGUGAAAGUUUGCGGCUCAACCGUAAAAUUGCAGUUGAAACUGGCAGUCUUGAGUACAGUAGAGGUGGGCGGAAUUCGUGGUGUAGCGGUGAAAUGCUUAGAUAUCACGAAGAACUCCGAUUGCGAAGGCAGUUCACUGGACUGCAACUGACACUGAGGCUCGAAAGUGUGGGUAUCAAACAGGAUUAGAUACCCUUGUAGUC